This is a small nuclear RNA of Lactuca sativa (garden lettuce), 103 nucleotides long. The record is from RefSeq and is a predicted model, not a curated record. NCBI's taxonomy places the organism in Eukaryota, Viridiplantae, Streptophyta, Magnoliopsida, Asterales, Asteraceae.
GUCUCUUAAGGGACAUCAGAUAAAACUGGAGCCAUUAUAAGAAGAUUAGCACACCCUAUGCACUAAGAUGACACACAUAAAUUGAGAAAUAGUCCAAAUUAAC